CACGCAAGCGGUUGGACAAGUCUGGCGUGAAAUCCUCUGGCUUAACCAGGGGCGGUCGCUGGAGACUGUUCGGCUUGAGGCGAUGAGAGGGGUGCAGAAUUCCCGGUGUAGUGGUGGAAUGCGUAGAGAUCGGGAGGAAUACCAGUGGCGAAAGCGGCACCCUGGCGUCGUACUGACGCACAUGUGCGAAAGCGUGGGGAGCGAACG
This 207-nucleotide ribosomal RNA is filed under the name uncultured bacterium. Its description in RNAcentral is "partial 16S ribosomal RNA". It matches the Rfam family "Bacterial small subunit ribosomal RNA", at positions 568 to 774 of the family's 1533-position model. The record is from RNAcentral.